Varroa destructor (honeybee mite) is the source of this 460-nucleotide long non-coding RNA. Lineage: Eukaryota; Metazoa; Arthropoda; Arachnida; Mesostigmata; Varroidae. The record is from RefSeq and is a predicted model, not a curated record.
AAAACAGACGAUAGGAUCAAUAUAAGGAUGAUGAAGCUCCGAAAAUUACAAGAGAUAGUUAUCAGAAUGAGUGUUGAUACUUUAUGCGGAUCUGGGUUACGAUCACGUGUUUAUUUACUACGUGCCUUGACUUAGAUAGGACACCCGAAUAUUGAAGCAAAGGUUUGUGAACUUCUUGCCGCGCAUGCGCAUCUCAUACCAUUGCUUGCAAAGAUAUUGAAACCGAGCUUCAUCGUGGUCUUAGACGAUGGCUGGGCCCAGUCAUUUUGGACAGAAGGUGGUUAGGAGACCUAAAUUUGAGAAGAUCAUAAAGUUGGUGUCACAAGGAGACGCUAUUAGCCCAUUUCUAUCGUCUGCCCAAAUCACUAAUCUUCCGGUAGUAAACCAGCGAUGGUACAGAGCAAUAAAGACUGUUGAGAAUGCCAACGACGUACUUAUGGACUAGAAAAUCCGUUUUAAG